Triticum urartu is the source of this 3332-nucleotide long non-coding RNA. RefSeq lists it as uncharacterized. NCBI's taxonomy places the organism in Eukaryota, Viridiplantae, Streptophyta, Magnoliopsida, Poales, Poaceae. The record is from RefSeq and is a predicted model, not a curated record.
CCCCCCCCCCCCCCCCCCCCCCCCCCCCCCCCCCCACCGCUCAGCUUGCCGGAGCCGCCCGCUGCGCCCCCUUCGCCACGGGAGCCGCGGGUCGCCGGAGCCGUUCCUCCACGACCACCACAACCAUGGCAGGGAGCGCUGCUCUGACCUCCUCUCCUAUGACUCCAAGUCUGACGAUGCCCGCGACCAGGCGUGCUCCCCUCCAUGGAUAGAAAGGCAGCUUUGGAGAGGGGUCGCAAAGAUCAAGGCUAUCAUAUCAAGUAUUGUGCUCAAAACGUCCAUCGGGUGCAUCCAUAUCGCCCUAGUUCAUUACCAACCACCACGCGAUUUACAUCCACUGCGAUCAUGGAUGACCACGUGAGACAUCGUCGCCGUCCUUCUCCCAGAUACAAUGGUCGGCUAAUACGGUAUUUUGAUAUGCUAAUCAUGCUUCCGUUUCACUGAACUCACAGAACAAUACUACUUACUUUCUACUAAUAGUGUUCUGUGAACUGCAAAAUUCAGAAUUAUCGCAACAUUUUCAUGAUCUAUAUUCCAGCUUUUAGUACAUGGUUUGUUUGAGAAGCGGAUAAGUGGUCAAGGGUCGUAUAUAAGAAUAUUGCAGGUCUAUCUACACUCUUCUCAGCCUGGAAAUCAUUAUAUGCUUGCUGACUUGCUUUGCUCACAUUGCCGCCGAAACUGUGAGCGGUCCUUGCAUGUCUUGUGAAUUCAUUGAAAGCGUCUAAAAUAUGGAGUUGCAGUGUGGCUGCUAACUGCUACUUUCAUGUUAUCACAAGAAGGCCAAAGCUCUCAUUUUCUAGAUAUUUCGAGUUUAAACAUGAAAGAUAUUUGAAGAAAGGAAUUUUCAGUAUCAUAUAUCUAAGCAAUUAUGUUUUGAAACGGAAUUGUUGGCUCAUAAUAAUAGUUUGCUGAAUUCUUCCAAGUCCCAGUUAGAUUCUUCAAACUGUAUGACCUUAGAUGUAUUGUGACCUGAUGAUCGUCGUAUUUUUUUGAUAUACUAGAAGCUGCAAUCACUGCUGAUCGUCCCAUUUAUCUGCUAUUUGACUUGUGAUGGUUUAAUAAUCUUUAACCUUCAUGAUUCCCAGCCUCCCAGGUGACCUAACUGGGAAAUUUGACAAAUUUAAGCAAUUCAUGAAUCUGUCAAAAUUUGAGCUGUGAAUGGGUAGGCCUCUCGGUGAUGGCUUCUCAGGGGGUUGUCCUGUUAUCAGAGGGGAUAAUGGUCAUCAAUCAAGUAGCUACAUGUUCACGAAUACAAAGCUUAAGCCUUCCGAAGUUAUUCCAGAGGUAUUAAUUUCUACUGCCCAAGUGGAUAUUGGUCCUUUUGGAAGACAAUUUCAGUUUGGCCAUCCUCACACCAUUGAGGUUAGAUUCUUGAUCUCACUGUGAUGGUUCCUUUGUGUGUUCUUGCGCUUUGGUGUUUCUUACAGAAUUAGAUCACAAGGGGAGCUAUAAAAUGAGGAGGAGCUAGACAACCACCAUUUAGGACCUCAAGUAGAUUGGGAGAGUGCAUUGAGGCAAAUGUUAUCUGCCAAUAUUUUAGUCUUGUUGUCCAAAUUUGUUAUUUUCAUUCUCCUGCUCCUUCCCCACUGAUUCUCUUCUCUGCACUCUACGGUUGCAAAUUGGCUACAAGGCUUUCACUUCAAUAAGGUGAACAGCCAUGCCGGGUGGAUAUCCCGGAGGCAAUGGCAGCCACUAAAUAAUAAGUUCGAUUGCCCUCACUAACCCACUAAAUAACCAGCAAUGGCAGCUUGCUCUUUGCAAAGAAAAUUGGGAAUGUUGUGUUUCUGUUCCAUAUAUUUUGGAUUUGUAAUCAAGGGACUUAUACUAUUUUUCUGUGUUCUGGUCCAUGUGAAUUGCCUGGGUCAACUAUGAAUGGUUUUUUCAAGUCUGCGCACCCCCCUUCUUUUCACAAGUACUUGCAGCUAUGUGUGGAAUACGAUGCCAUUGCAUAUCGUCACUUGUUCUUUAGCCGAUCAUUAACAUAAUCAUUCAUGUUUAAGUUUAUCAAUGUAUAACUCAUUGUAAGUUUUGGCAGUGUGUACAGAUAACAAUAUUCAUCUUUAUGUUUAUCAAUAUACAACUGCUUAUAAGUUCUGACAGUGUGUAGAGAUAACUUAAAUCAGACUGUCCAGUUUUUUAAACUUAAGGUGUGAUUCACAACCAAUCACUUUCGCUAAUGAUGUAGGGCGCGUCUGCAAGUCUGCAUUUCCAAAAAAAUUCCUUGUUAAUAUUAUACAACUUAAGCUAAUUUUCUUUUUACAGUUUGGUUUUUAAGUUUCAUAUUUCUAUGAUUUUUUAUCAUACUGCUUUAAAAAGGUCUGCCUUUGUACUGUACCAAUUUAGCAAGCCAAACAAAAUUUAUCUUUUUUCCUGCACAAUUAGUGGAAAUCAAAAGAUAGAAGGCAUCAUUUUAACUUACUGUACCAAUUUAUAAGAAGUUCUAUUGUUCUUACUAGCCCACUAAGUAACCAGUGAUGGCAGCAUGCUGUUUGCAAAAGAAAAUCGACAAUGUUGUUCUGGUGUUCCUGAUGUUUCAGUGAAGGAACUUCCACUUUUGUUCUCUAUGCUAAUUCAUGUCGAUUGCCUUGGCCAGCUAUGAAUGAUUAUUGCUGGUGGCAAAUUUACUCCAAUUAUUUAUUUGCUUCCUUCUACUGCAAUUUAUAAGUUUCUUACAGGAUAGACAACAAAGAAGAAUUAACAAGACAAUGUUUUGUAUGCACGACCUCUCCCUUCCAUUUCUGCAGCUGUGCAACAUAUUUAUCGAUUGUAGACCCAAAAAAGGGAAAUGCUUUGUUGGUGUACAGGCGCUUGACUUAUGAAGCUCAUUUUCAGUAGAUUUUUUGUGUCAUAAAGAAGGUUUAGGUGGAGAAAAGAUAAGCAAGACAAUGCCCUUUCUGAGCAUACCAAAUUCCUGGGAGAUCUCGAGGGCAUGGGGCUCGAUAUAGGCUCGGAAAUUGAUUGUAUGCUCAAACGCAGCGGUGGAGCUCUGACGACGUCUUAGGCGAAGACAAGGCAGAGACUUGAUGAAGGGCCUUUUAGUAUUUGAGUUACACAGAGUCAUAGACGGAGAUGGGGAUGACACGGCGAGCGACGGGAAGACGCGAGGUCGUCAAAGAGGCGGAGUGGCAAAGUAGAGAGAAUUCAGCUGCAAGUACUAAUGCAUGGGUGUAAGAAUUAUGUACCUGGCGGCCUAACCCACAUAGCAAAUCGUCGUCAAAAAAUUAAAAGGGAUAAAAAGUGUGAGAACUUUUGCUAAAUGGAGUUUUCUUUUUUCAUCAAAAGAGAGGCCUCCCUCUCCGAUUUUGUUUAAAUAAAUAAAUGUUCACAAGCUA